GACGAACGCUGGCGGCGUGCCUAAUACAUGCAAGUAGAACGCUGAGGGAGGAGCUUGCUUCUCUGGAUGAGUUGCGAACGGGUGAGUAACGCGUAGGUAACCUGCCUGGUAGCGGGGGAUAACUAUUGGAAACGAUAGCUAAUACCGCAUAAUAGCAGUUAUUGCAUGAUAACUGUUUGAAAGGUGCAAUUGCACCACUGCCAGAUGGACCUGCGUUGUAUUAGCUAGUUGGUGGGGUAACGGCUCACCAAGGCGACGAUACAUAGCCGACCUGAGAGGGUGAUCGGCCACACUGGGACUGAGACACGGCCCAGACUCCUACGGGAGGCAGCAGUAGGGAAUCUUCGGCAAUGGACGGAAGUCUGACCGAGCAACGCCGCGUGAGUGAAGAAGGUUUUCGGAUCGUAAAGCUCUGUUGUAAGAGAAGAACGAGUGUGAGAGUGGAAAGUUCACACUGUGACGGUAUCUUACCAGAAAGGGACGGCUAACUACGUG
Molecule: ribosomal RNA, 495 nt
Filed under: uncultured bacterium
Lineage: Bacteria
Description: partial 16S ribosomal RNA
Rfam family: Bacterial small subunit ribosomal RNA
Source: RNAcentral